This 58-nucleotide transfer RNA is filed under the name Myotis davidii. It matches the Rfam family "tRNA", at positions 8 to 63 of the family's 71-position model. Rfam says of the family: Transfer RNA (tRNA) molecules are approximately 80 nucleotides in length. Their secondary structure includes four short double-helical elements and three loops (D, anti-codon, and T loops). The record is from Rfam by way of RNAcentral. Lineage: Eukaryota; Metazoa; Chordata; Mammalia; Chiroptera; Vespertilionidae.
UAGCUCAGUGGUUAGAGUGUCAGCCUGAGGCCCAGAGAGUCCCAGGUUCGAUUCCUGG